Molecule: ribosomal RNA, 151 nt
Filed under: uncultured bacterium
Lineage: Bacteria
Description: partial 16S ribosomal RNA
Rfam family: Bacterial small subunit ribosomal RNA
Source: RNAcentral
GAGGAAUAUUGGUCAAUGGGCGCGAGCCUGAACCAGCCAAGUCGCGUGAGGGAAGACGGUCCUAUGGAUUGUAAACCUCUUUUGUCGGGGAGCAAAAGNCGCCACGUGUGGCGUUCCGAGAGUACCCGAAGAAAAAGCAUCGGCUAACUCC